CUUUUGUCAGGGAAGAAACGCUCUGGGCUAAUACCCCGGAGUAAUGACGGUACCUGAAGAAUAAGCACCGGCUAACUACGUGCCAGCAGCCGCGGUAAUACGUAGGGUGCAAGCGUUAAUCGGAAUUACUGGGCGUAAAGCGUGCGCAGGCGGUUGUGCAAGACAGAUGUGAAAUCCCCGGGCUUAACCUGGGAACUGCAUUUGUGACUGCACGGCUGGAGUGCGGCAGAGGGGGAUGGAAUUCCGCGUGUAGCAGUGAAAUGCGUAGAUAUGCGGAGGAACACCGAUGGCGAAGGCAAUCCCCUGGGCCUGCACUGACGCUCAUGCACGAAAGCGUGGGGAGCAAACAGGAUUAGAUACCCUGGUAGUCCACGCCCUAAACGAUGUCAACUGGUUGUUGGAAGGGUUCCCUUUCAGU
RNAcentral lists this ribosomal RNA (418 nucleotides) under uncultured bacterium. Its description in RNAcentral is "bacterial SSU rRNA". It matches the Rfam family "Bacterial small subunit ribosomal RNA", at positions 433 to 844 of the family's 1533-position model. The record is from RNAcentral.